This 253-nucleotide ribosomal RNA is filed under the name uncultured bacterium. RNAcentral describes it as "partial 16S ribosomal RNA". It matches the Rfam family "Bacterial small subunit ribosomal RNA", at positions 524 to 776 of the family's 1533-position model. The record is from RNAcentral.
UACGAAGGUCCCGAGCGUUGUUCGGAAUCACUGGGCGUAAAGGGAGCGUAGGCGGCGCGGUAAGUCAGAUGUGAAAUCCCGGGGCUCAACCCCGGAACUGCAUCCGAUACUGCCGUGCUAGAGGAUUGGAGAGGUAGCUGGAAUUCCUGGUGUAGCAGUGAAAUGCGUGGAGAUCAAGAGGAACACUCGUGGCGAAAGCGGUUGCCUGGAGCUUUGCUGACGCUGAUGCGCGAAAGCGUGGGGAGCGAUCCGG